This 379-nucleotide ribosomal RNA is filed under the name uncultured cyanobacterium. RNAcentral describes it as "bacterial SSU rRNA". It matches the Rfam family "Bacterial small subunit ribosomal RNA", at positions 376 to 770 of the family's 1533-position model. Lineage: Bacteria; Bacillati; Cyanobacteriota. The record is from RNAcentral.
CGAAAGCCUGACGGAGCAACGCCGCGUGCGGGAAGAAGGCUCUUGGGCUGUCAACCACUUUUCUCAGGGAAGAAGUCCUGACGGUACCUGAGGAAUCAGCCUCGGCUAACUCCGUGCCAGCAGCCGCGGUAAUACGGAGGAGGCAAGCGUUAUCCGGAAUUAUUGGGCGUAAAGCGUCCGCAGGGGGCUCAUCAAGUCUGCUGUCAAAGGUCGGAGCUCAACUCCGGUUCGGCAGUGGAAACUGGUGGGCUAGAGGGCGGCAGGGGCAGAAGGAAUUCCCGGUGUAGCGGUGAAAUGCGUAGAUAUCGGGAAGAACACCAGAGGCGAAAGCGUUCUGCUGGGCCGCGCCUGACCCUGAGGGACGAAAGCCAGGGGAGCG